AUUCAACCAAAAUGACUACCCAAUUCACGAACAUAAUUAAACACAAGUAAUUCGAAUUAAACAAUGUCACCAAAAUAAUUCACGAAAAUAACAUGCUUCAACUUGUUGUGGAAAAUAACAUCCUUAUUCAAGAAUUUAAAUAAAAUCAACGAAAUAGGAUACUUACUUCGUUUGAAGAAGAAGCCAUGGUAUAUGCCUUCAAGUUGAAAAAAU
This 213-nucleotide long non-coding RNA is filed under the name Salvia miltiorrhiza (redroot sage). RNAcentral's name for it is "long non-coding RNA (SMIL_LNC001084)". Lineage: Eukaryota; Viridiplantae; Streptophyta; Magnoliopsida; Lamiales; Lamiaceae. The record is from RNAcentral.